RNAcentral lists this signal recognition particle RNA (94 nucleotides) under Candidatus Pacearchaeota archaeon. RNAcentral describes it as "signal recognition particle sRNA small type". It matches the Rfam family "Bacterial small signal recognition particle RNA". Rfam says of the family: The signal recognition particle (SRP) is a universally conserved ribonucleoprotein involved in the co-translational targeting of proteins to membranes. Archaeal SRP consists of a 7S RNA and homologues of the eukaryotic SRP19 and SRP54 proteins. The record is from RNAcentral. Lineage: Archaea; Nanobdellati.
UGUCUUGUCCUGCACGAUCUUGCUUUAACGAAUCUGGUCAGAUCCGGAAGGAAGCAGCCAUAAACUAAAGUUAAGGUGCUUGUGGGGUCACAAG